RNAcentral lists this ribosomal RNA (686 nucleotides) under uncultured bacterium. RNAcentral's name for it is "bacterial SSU rRNA". It matches the Rfam family "Bacterial small subunit ribosomal RNA", at positions 186 to 858 of the family's 1533-position model. The record is from RNAcentral.
ACGCAUGUCUAGAGUUUGAAAGAUGGUUCUGCUAUCACUCUUGGAUGGACCUGCGGUGCGUUAGCUAGUUGGUAAGGUAACGGCUUACCAAGGCAAUGAUGCAUAGCCGAGUUGAGAGACUGAUCGGCCACAUUGGGACUGAGACACGGCCCAAACUCCUACGGGAGGCAGCAGUAGGGAAUCUUCCACAAUGGACGAAAGUCUGAUGGAGCAACGCCGCGUGAGUGAAGAAGGGUUUCGGCUCGUAAAGCUCUGUUGGUAGUGAAGAAAGAUAGAGGUAGUAACUGGCCUUUAUUUGACGGUAAUUACUUAGAAAGUCACGGCUAACUACGUGCCAGCAGCCGCGGUAAUACGUAGGUGGCAAGCGUUGUCCGGAUUUAUUGGGCGUAAAGCGAGUGCAGGCGGUUCAAUAAGUCUGAUGUGAAAGCCUUCGGCUCAACCGGAGAAUUGCAUCAGAAACUGUUGAACUUGAGUGCAGAAGAGGAGAGUGGAACUCCAUGUGUAGCGGUGGAAUGCGUAGAUAUAUGGAAGAACACCAGUGGCGAAGGCGGCUCUCUGGUCUGCAACUGACGCUGAGGCUCGAAAGCAUGGGUAGCGAACAGGAUUAGAUACCCUGGUAGUCCAUGCCGUAAACGAUGAGUGCUAAGUGUUGGGAGGUUUCCGCCUCUCAGUGCUGCAGCUAACGC